Molecule: ribosomal RNA, 476 nt
Filed under: uncultured bacterium
Lineage: Bacteria
Description: SSU rRNA
Rfam family: Bacterial small subunit ribosomal RNA
Source: RNAcentral
AGGACGAACGCUGGCGGCGUGCUUAACACAUGCAAGUCGAGCGGAAAGGCCCUUCGGGGUACUCGAGCGGCGAACGGGUGAGUAACACGUGAGCAACCUGCCCCUGGCUCUGGGAUAGCCUCCGGAAACGGGGAUUAAUACCGGACAUGACCUGGGACUGCAUGGUUCUGGGUGGAAAGUUUUUCGGCCAGGGUGGGGCUCGCGGCCUAUCAGCUUGUUGGGGGGGUGACGGCCCACCAAGGCGACGACGGGUAGCCGGCCUGAGAGGGCGACCGGCCACACUGGGACUGAGACACGGCCCAGACUCCUACGGGAGGCAGCAGUGGGGAAUAUUGCGCAAUGGGCGGAAGCCUGACGCAGCGACGCCGCGUGCGGGAUGGAAGGCCUUCGGGUUGUAAACCGCUUUCACCGCAGACGAAGCGAGAGUGACGGUACCGUGGGGAAGAAGCGCCGGCUAACUACGCGCCAGCAGCCGC